This 568-nucleotide ribosomal RNA is filed under the name uncultured bacterium. Its description in RNAcentral is "bacterial SSU rRNA". It matches the Rfam family "Bacterial small subunit ribosomal RNA", at positions 338 to 917 of the family's 1533-position model. The record is from RNAcentral.
CCUACGGGAGGCAGCAGUGGGGAAUUUUCGGCAAUGGGGGCAACCCUGACCGAGCCAUGCCGCGUGCACGAUGAAGGCUUUUUGGUCGUAAAGUGCUGUGGAGAACAACUAAUAAAUGAAGUGUUCUCUAGAAAGAGGUUGCUAACUCUGUGCCAGCAGCAGCGGUGAUACAGAGACCUCAAGCGUUAUCCGGUUUUAUUGGGCGUAAAGCGUACCGAUCGGCGGUCAAGCGUGUCUGUAGUUAAAGACCGGAGCUCAACUCCGCGUAUGCUACAGAAACUGUUUGACUAGAGGAGUAAAGAGGUGACUGGAACUCUACAAGUAGGGGUAAAAUCCGUUGAUAUGUAGGGGAACGCCAAAAGCGAAGGCAGGUCACUAGGUACUUCCUGACGCUGCUAGGACGAAAGCACGGGGAGAGAACGGGAUUAGAUACCCCGGUAUUCCGUGCCCUAAACGAUGAGUGUUUACUAUUAGGAGGCUUCAAUCCCUCUUAGUGGUGUAGCUAACGCUUUAAACACUCCGCCUGUAUAGUACGGCCGCAAGGCUAAAACUUAAAGGAAUUGACGGA